Molecule: ribosomal RNA, 489 nt
Filed under: uncultured Cronobacter sp.
Lineage: Bacteria; Pseudomonadati; Pseudomonadota; Gammaproteobacteria; Enterobacterales; Enterobacteriaceae
Description: bacterial SSU rRNA
Rfam family: Bacterial small subunit ribosomal RNA
Source: RNAcentral
GUGCCAGCCGCUGCGGUAAUACGGAGGGUGCAAGCGUUAAUCGGAAUUACUGGGCGUAAAGCGCACGCAGGCGGUCUGUCAAGUCGGAUGUGAAAUCCCCGGGCUCAACCCGGGAACUGCAUUCGAAACUGGCAGGCUGGAGUCUCGUAGAGGGGGGGUAGAAUUCCAGGUGUAGCGGUGAAAUGCGUAGAGAUCUGGAGGAAUACCGGUGGCGAAGGCGGCCCCCUGGACGAAGACUGACGCUCAGGUGCGAAAGCGUGGGGAGCAAACAGGAUUAGAUACCCUGGUAGUCCACGCUGUAAACGAUGUCGACUUGGAGGUUGUGCCCUUGAGCGUGGCUUCCGGAGCUAACGCGUUAAGUCGACCGCCUGGGGAGUACGGCCGCAAGGUUAAAACUCAAAUGAAUUGACGGGGCCCGCACAAGCGGUGGAGCAUGUGGUUUAAUUCGAUGCAACGCGAACGAACCUUACCUGGUCUUGACAUCCACAG